This 24-nucleotide non-coding RNA is filed under the name Arabidopsis thaliana (thale cress). Lineage: Eukaryota; Viridiplantae; Streptophyta; Magnoliopsida; Brassicales; Brassicaceae. The record is from RNAcentral.
AACAACACUGAAACUGGAAACCAA